This 1516-nucleotide ribosomal RNA is filed under the name Flavobacterium columnare. RNAcentral's name for it is "bacterial SSU rRNA". It matches the Rfam family "Bacterial small subunit ribosomal RNA". The record is from RNAcentral. Lineage: Bacteria; Pseudomonadati; Bacteroidota; Flavobacteriia; Flavobacteriales; Flavobacteriaceae. RNAcentral also lists the same sequence under 1 other name.
ACGAUGAAGAGUUUGAUCCUGGCUCAGGAUGAACGCUAGCGGCAGGCUUAACACAUGCAAGUCGAGGGGUAGAAGGAGCUUGCUCCUUUGAGACCGGCGCACGGGUGCGUAACGCGUAUGCAAUCUGCCUUGUACAGGGGGAUAGCCCAGAGAAAUUUGGAUUAAUACCCCAUAGUAUUAUUAAAUGGCAUCAUUUAAUUAUUAAAGUUCCAACGGUACAAGAUGAGCAUGCGUCCCAUUAGCUAGUUGGUGUGGUAACGGCACACCAAGGCAACGAUGGGUAGGGGUCCUGAGAGGGAGAUCCCCCACACUGGUACUGAGACACGGACCAGACUCCUACGGGAGGCAGCAGUGAGGAAUAUUGGUCAAUGGACGCAAGUCUGAACCAGCCAUGCCGCGUGCAGGAUGACGGUCCUAUGGAUUGUAAACUGCUUUUGUACAGGAAGAAACACUCCCUUGCGAGGGAACUUGACGGUACUGUAAGAAUAAGGAUCGGCUAACUCCGUGCCAGCAGCCGCGGUAAUACGGAGGAUCCAAGCGUUAUCCGGAAUCAUUGGGUUUAAAGGGUCCGUAGGCGGUUUUAUAAGUCAGUGGUGAAAUCUGGUCGCUCAACGAUCAAACGGCCAUUGAUACUGUAAGACUUGAAUUACUUGGAAGUAACUAGGAAUAUGUAGUGUAGCGGUGAAAUGCUUAGAGAUUACAUGGAAUACCAAUUGCGAAGGCAGGUUACUACGAGUACAUUGACGCUGAUGGACGAAAGCGUGGGGAGCGAACAGGAUUAGAUACCCUGGUAGUCCACGCCGUAAACGAUGGAUACUAGCUGUUUGGAGCAAUCUGAGUGGCUAAGCGAAAGUGAUAAGUAUCCCACCUGGGGAGUACGCUCGCAAGAGUGAAACUCAAAGGAAUUGACGGGGGCCCGCACAAGCGGAGGAGCAUGUGGUUUAAUUCGAUGAUACGCGAGGAACCUUACCAAGGCUUAAAUGGGAAACGACAGAUUUGGAAACAGAUCUUUCUUCGGACGUUUUUCAAGGUGCUGCAUGGUUGUCGUCAGCUCGUGCCGUGAGGUGUCAGGUUAAGUCCUAUAACGAGCGCAACCCCUGUUGCUAGUUGCCAGCGAGUCAAGUCGGGAACUCUAGCAAGACUGCCGGUGCAAACCGUGAGGAAGGUGGGGAUGACGUCAAAUCAUCACGGCCCUUACGCCUUGGGCUACACACGUGCUACAAUGGACGGUACAGAGAGCAGCCACUACGCAAGUAGGCGCGAAUCUACAAAACCGUUCUCAGUUCGGAUCGGGUCUGCAACUCGACUCCGUGAAGCUGGAUUCGCUAGUAAUCGCAGAUCAGCCAUGCUGCGGUGAAUACGUUCCCGGGCCUUGUACACACCGCCCGUCAAGCCAUGGAAGCUGGGGGUACCUGAAGUCGGUGACCGCAAGGAGCUGCCUAGGGUAAAACUGGUAACUAGGGCUAAGUCGUAACAAGGUAGCCGUACCGGAAGGUGCGGCUGGAACACCUCCUUU